AUUAAUCAACCGAGAACAAUGCAUAGGUGCUAAUUGGGUACAAUCCUCUAGUGACCAAGCAAAUGAUCUAGAGGUUAAUUUACGCAAAUGAGACAAUAAUAGUAAACCCCAAAGCAGCUAUCACAUGUACGAGAACUUCCCACAACACCCAUACAAGCCUGUUACAGAAACAAUACAUAACAAAUUUGUAUAGAUGAUUGCAAACAGUUGCCGCCAAAUAGCGUGGCCGCAUAAAAUCAUCGCAGGAGCAAGACCACGUAACGUCAUCAUUGGAAGACGAGACCACAUAAUCCAAUGCUCAAGGCGAAAAUCAAAUACAACCGUCGUUACGGCGCAAAACGGACACCAUCCAAUGGAAGGAUAGGACCCUCAGGUAAGGACCACAGCAGUGCCAUCACACAAGACAGGCAGCUUGCGAAUUUGAUACGCCCAAAAUUUUUUUGGGUAAGUUUUAUUUUGGGUAAAAGACUGUUUACUACCUUAUGUUUCGUGGUUUUCAACAUUUAGUAUAUCAAGUUUUUUUUGUCUCAGAUUCAAACCUAAAGUGUAAAUUUUGGGACAAUCUCAUACAUCCUUUAGUCAAACUGUUAAAUCUGCCAUUAAUUGUGACGUGGCGCUCAUGUGGACAAUAACUGGGCGCCACGUAUCAUCCGCGUUUUUUUUUUCUUUCUUCUUCUUCUUCUUCAUCUUCUUCCUUCUUCUUCUUCUUCUUCUUCCUCCUCCGACUGCAACUUCUUUUUCCCCCUUCUCCUUCUUCCUUCUUCUUCCUUCUCCUUCUCCUUCUUCUUCUUGUUCCUCCGAAUCUAGGGAAGUUUUUUUUUUUUUUUUUUUCUUCUUCCUCCUUCCUCCUUCUUCCUUCUCCUUCCUUCUCCUUCUUCUUCUUCUGAAUCUGGGUUGCAGAUUCGUUUUUUUUUUCUUUUUUCUUUUUUCUUCUUCUUCCUCCUUCUUCUUCCUCCGACUUGUCUUUGUAUAUCUAAAUACAAACACAAAAAAGUGCAUAUUCACAUUUUUAGAGGUUUAAUAACAAAUCUCAUAAAUUACAAAUAUUAUUUUAUUUAAACUUUUUCUCCGGCAAAUAUUCAAACUUUUAAAUUAAACAAAUAUUUAUCAAACUUAUUAAAUUAAGCAAGUAUUCAAACUUCCAUGACUAUUUUAAGAAUAUAGAACCACAUUCAUUACUAACUAUACAUGAACGUUCACACAUAAUUAAAAGAUUUUAUUGCUACCCGUGAAAUUCACCAGUAUUUUUAUAACUUAUGAAUACGCAAUUGAACCAAUCAACCGUAUCCAUAAAAUUGAGCACAUAACUUCUGCUCAAAAUCAUUUUUUUUUAAUUUUUUUGACAAACAACAAUACUUGGUAUUUCAUUAAUCAACCGAGAACAAUACAUAGGUGCUAAUUGGGUACAAUCCUCUAGUGACCAAGCAAAUGAUCUAGAGAUUAAUUUACGCAAAUGAGACAACAAUAGUAAACCCCUAAGCAGCUAUCACAUGUACGAGAACUUCCCACAACACCUAUACAAGCCUGUUACAGAAACAAUACAUAACAAAUUUGUAUAGAUGAUUGCAAACAGUUGCCGCCAAAUAGCGUGGCCGCAUAAAAUCAUC
RNAcentral lists this long non-coding RNA (1607 nucleotides) under Malus domestica (apple). Its description in RNAcentral is "long non-coding RNA (MDOM_LNC009387)". The record is from RNAcentral. Lineage: Eukaryota; Viridiplantae; Streptophyta; Magnoliopsida; Rosales; Rosaceae.